Molecule: ribosomal RNA, 497 nt
Filed under: uncultured bacterium
Lineage: Bacteria
Description: partial 16S ribosomal RNA
Rfam family: Bacterial small subunit ribosomal RNA
Source: RNAcentral
GAUGAACGCUGGCGGCGUGCCUAAUACAUGCAAGUCGAGCGAACGGACGAGGAGCUUGCUUCGCUGAUGUUAGCGGCGGACGGGUGAGUAACACGUGGAUAACCUACCUAUAAGAGUGGGAUAACUUCGGGAAACCGGAGCUAAUACCGGAUGAUAUUUUGAACCGCAUGGGUGAAAAGUGAAAGACGGUCUUGCUGGCACGUAUAGAUGGAUCCGCGCUGCAUUAGCGAGUUGGUAAGGUAACGGCUUACCAAGGCAACGAUGCAUAGGCGACCUGAGAGGCUGGUCGCCCACCCUGGAACUGAGCCACGGUCCUGACUCCUACGGGAGGCAGCAGUCGCGAAUCUUCCGCAAUGGGCGAAAGCCUGACGGAGCAGCGCCGCGUGAGUGAUGAAGGUCUUCGGAUCGUAAAACUCUCUUAUUAGUGAAGAACAUAUGUGUAAGUAACUGUGCACAUCUUGACGGUACCUAAUCAGAAAGCCCCGGCUAACUACGUG